RNAcentral lists this ribosomal RNA (606 nucleotides) under Triticum aestivum (bread wheat). RNAcentral's name for it is "partial small subunit ribosomal RNA". The record is from RNAcentral. Lineage: Eukaryota; Viridiplantae; Streptophyta; Magnoliopsida; Poales; Poaceae.
AUGAAGGAUCAAGCAGACAAGCAUCGCAUAGAGCACACGUUUGUUGUUGGUGAGUCUGUGUUCUUGAAACUACAGCCCUACCUCCAGUCGUCAGUGGCUCCCCGCGCUAAUCACAAAUUGGCCUUCAAGUAUUAUGGCCCCUUCAAGAUUGUUGCUCGAGUGGGUGAGGUCGCUUAUCAGUUGGACUUGCCUAUAUCCAGCCGUGUGCACCCAGUAUUUCACGUGUCCCUCUUGAAGCGAGUACUAGCACCAGACUGUCAGGUUCGUCCUCACUUGCUCCCCCUUGACACUCAUCUCCAGGUCCCUGAACAGGUGUUGCGACAGCGGGUGGUCCGCAAAGGCAAUGAUUCUGCCGUCCAAGUCUUGAUCCGAUGGAGUGAUUCAACUGAUGAAUUAGCUACUUGGGAAGACAAAGAUACCCUCAAGCAGUUGUUUCCUCGUGCAUCGGCUUGGGGACAAGCCGUCUCUAAGGGAGGAGGGGUUGUCAGCGAUCAAGAGCAUAUUGAAGAACAUGUGACACGGGAGACGGAGGUUCAAAUUACGACCAGGCCCCGACGCAAGCCUCAGCAGCCCGCUAGGCUUGCUAGGCCUGAAUGGGCUACAUAA